Non-coding RNA from Asterophora parasitica, 90 nucleotides. The record is from the annotation of a GenBank genome assembly. Lineage: Eukaryota; Fungi; Basidiomycota; Agaricomycetes; Agaricales; Lyophyllaceae.
GUCACUUUGCCGGAGUGGUUAACGGGAUCGCCUGCUAGACAGCCAAGCGGUUGGUCUUUGACCGCGAGUGUUCGAAUCGCUCAGGUGACG